Pyrus x bretschneideri (Chinese white pear) is the source of this 198-nucleotide long non-coding RNA. RefSeq lists it as uncharacterized. The record is from RefSeq and is a predicted model, not a curated record. Lineage: Eukaryota; Viridiplantae; Streptophyta; Magnoliopsida; Rosales; Rosaceae. The transcript is spliced from 2 exons.
GAGAGCUCAAGUUUCCUAAAACAUAGGGAAUUGAACCAACUAAUUGGUUUUUAGAGAGGUCAAGAUUAACAAGAGAGCUCAUGUUUCCUAAAACAUGGGGAAUUGAACCAACUAAUUGGUUGUAAGAGAGGUCAAGAUGAACAAGGCUGGCAUUGUAGUUUGACAACCAUACAAAUAUUGAAGAAGUAAGUUGGUUGG